GACGAACGCUGGCGGCGUGCUUAACACAUGCAAGUCGAACGGAAAGGCCCUGCUUUUGUGGGGUGCUCGAGUGGCGAACGGGUGAGUAACACGUGAGUAACCUGCCCUUGACUUUGGGAUAACUUCAGGAAACUGGGGCUAAUACCGGAUAGGAGCUCCUGCUGCAUGGUGGGGGUUGGAAAGUUUCGGCGGUUGGGGAUGGACUCGCGGCUUAUCAGCUUGUUGGUGGGGUAGUGGCUUACCAAGGCUUUGACGGGUAGCCGGCCUGAGAGGGUGACCGGCCACAUUGGGACUGAGAUACGGCCCAGACUCCUACGGGAGGCAGCAGUGGGGAAUAGUGCACAAUGGGCGGAAGCCUGAUGCAGCAACGCCGCGUGCGGGAGGACGGCCUUCGGGUGGUAAACCGCUUUCGCCUGUGACGAAGCGUGAGGGACGGUAAUGGGUAAAGAAGCACCGGCUAACUACGU
RNAcentral lists this ribosomal RNA (467 nucleotides) under uncultured bacterium. RNAcentral describes it as "partial 16S ribosomal RNA". It matches the Rfam family "Bacterial small subunit ribosomal RNA", at positions 28 to 506 of the family's 1533-position model. The record is from RNAcentral.